This is a non-coding RNA of Hydra vulgaris (swiftwater hydra), 707 nucleotides long. Lineage: Eukaryota; Metazoa; Cnidaria; Hydrozoa; Anthoathecata; Hydridae. The record is from RefSeq and is a predicted model, not a curated record.
AAUGGCAUGGGGCGACCUGUAGUGCAGUCUUUAGUUUAUCGUGAAGACCAGUCACAUCUACAGCUGCUAAUGACACAGGCUAAGGAAUGGGCUGGGAUUGAAACUUUUCAAAAGUCGAUAUUCAUGGUUGAUAAAGCUCAAGCAGAAAUAUCUGGACUACAGUCUGUUUUUCCAGGAAAUAAAAUAUUUCUCUGUCGCUUUCAUGUAGCUAAAGCUUUUAUUUAUCAAAUUAAAAAGGGUAGACUUACUGCUGACGAUCAGGAAUUAUUAUUCAAGGCUACUCAGAAAUUAAUGUACGGUAAUCAGGCAACAUGCGCUGAAGCUUUGUUAAAUAUUUAAAAAAAUUUCCCUACGUUCUAUGUGUAUCUUCAAGAAAACUGGCUGACCAUACCAGAAAUGUUUAUGGGUCACUAUAGAAAAGGUCUGAUGCAUUUAGACAAUCAUACUAAUAACAGACUUGAAAGAUAUCAUAGAACACUUAAAGAUGUCGGCCUUUUGUCACGCAUGUCACCGGGAAAUCUUAUAGAUAAAAUUCUUAAGGUUAAUAGAGUGCAAAUAGAAAAAUCUAAACAUGCAGACUUUGACCAACAACUAAAAAUUAAUAAUAAACUUCCAGAGCCACUAAAGUUUUAUUCAUGUCAUGUUUCUUCUUUUAUUCUUCGUCACCUCAUGGAACAAUAUGAUAAAAGUGUUAAGUCUGAUUUUAG